UCAUAGGUUGAGAAGCACUGUGGUAUAAUGUAUAGAUCAGAUUGGUUACGCAGACAUUUUCCAACGGAGUACGACUUGGAUGUAUUAACACUAAAAAGAUUUGUUCAAAAUGUGGUAUGAGAUAUUACCAGUAAUUGCUAUACUAGGUGUUGCGAUCAUGGUACCACAAGUAGUUCCAUACCACGUAAAUGAUCUGUUAUUUGGAUGCCCAUUCCGUAGAAAGCUUAGUACACAUUGGGAUUAUACAAUGUUCGAGAGAGACGAUGCAUUAACUGGCUCAGUUUAUAAGAAAGCAGGUUUGGAGAACAUUCCUGAUAAAUAAAUACAUACAUUUAUUUCACAAUAUAGGAUAUCAUUGUAGUAUGUAAAUAUAUGAUUAUAAGUAAUAUAAUAAACUCGAGUUCAGUUUAUCC
Colletes gigas is the source of this 413-nucleotide long non-coding RNA. RefSeq lists it as uncharacterized. The record is from RefSeq and is a predicted model, not a curated record. Lineage: Eukaryota; Metazoa; Arthropoda; Insecta; Hymenoptera; Colletidae. The transcript has 3 exons.